AGUAAUAGACGUUUCUUCAGUGGAUCAGGCAGAACUAGUUAGUUCAUCCGGUGUAGUAGUCAGAUAUAUACGACUUUCGAAGGUAGAAAGCGAAACCGACGAUACUUAUUUUGGAAUCUUUAUUGUUCCAAGUGAGGUUUUUUCUGUAAGUCUCCAAGCUAGCGAUGAAGGUGGUAACAUUAUACGACGUCUACAACCAACUGCUGUAAGACCAGAAACGUUUCAGCUGGUGCAUUUAUCAAGUGAUACAGAAGAAUUGAUUGCCGGAUCAUCUAUCGUUACCAAAUUCAGACUAAUCAAUACAGGACCACGAAAGCUGUUCAAUAUAUCCGACUCCAUUACUGGAGGAGGCACCUCUAUUUCCUCAAGUAUAAGUCCGUCAUCUGUUUAUGCUUCAGCUUCAAGUGAAGGAAACAUCACCUAUACUUUGUAUGCCUCAUCAGCGGCUCAAAUAGGAACUCCUAUAACUGUUACAGUGAGAGCCGAGGACACUUCCACUGGAUCAUUUAACUAUGUUGUAUUCUCGACAUCUGUUGAUGGUGCAUCGACGCUGGUG
Long non-coding RNA from Anneissia japonica, 556 nucleotides. RefSeq lists it as uncharacterized. The transcript has 4 exons. NCBI's taxonomy places the organism in Eukaryota, Metazoa, Echinodermata, Crinoidea, Comatulida, Comatulidae. The record is from RefSeq and is a predicted model, not a curated record.